Molecule: ribosomal RNA, 301 nt
Filed under: uncultured bacterium
Lineage: Bacteria
Description: partial 16S ribosomal RNA
Rfam family: Bacterial small subunit ribosomal RNA
Source: RNAcentral
CAGUAGCCGCGGGAAUACGGAGGGUGCAAGCGUUAAUCGGAAUUACUGGGCGUAAAGCGCACGCAGGCGGUCUGACAAGUCAGAUGUGAAAUCCCCGGGCUUAACCUGGGAACUGCAUUUGAAACUGUCAGGCUGGAGUCUUGUAGAGGGGGGUGGAAUUCCAGGUGUAGCGGUGAAAUGCGUAGAGAUCUGGAGGAAUACCGGUGGCGAAGGCGGCCCCCUGGACAAAGACUGACGCUCAGGUGCGAAAGCGUGGGGAGCAAACAGGAUUAGAGACCCCGGUAGUCCCUGUCUCUUAUAC